GACUAGUCGUGACACUAUGACACUAGUCGUGACACUAUGACACUAGCUGUGACACUAGCUUUGAGACUAUGACACUAUGAGACUAUGACACUAUGAGACUAUGACUAGUCGUGACACUAUGACACUAGUCGUGACACUAUGACACUAGCUGUGACACUAGCCGUGAGACUGACACUAGCCGUGAGACUGUGACACUGGCCGUGAGACUAUGACACUGGCCGUGAGACAUGACACUGGCCGUGAGACCAUGACACUAGCCGUGAGACCAUGACACUAGCCGUGAGACCAUGACACUAGCCGUGAGACCAUGACACUAGCCAUGAGACCAUGACACUAGCCGUGAGACCAUGACACUAGCCGUGAGACCAUGACACUAGCCGUGAGACCAUGACACUAGCCGUGAGACUAUGACACUAUGAAACUAUGACACUAGCCGUGACACUGUGACACUAGCCGUGAGACUGUGACACUAGCCGUGAGACUUGACACUAGCCGUGAGACUGUGACACUAUGAGACUAUGACACUAGCCGUGACACUAUGACACUAGCUCCGUGAGACUGACACUAGCCGUGAGACUGACACUAGCCGUGAGACUGUGAGACUAGCUGUGAGACUGUGCUAGAAGGCUUUCUAUUUGAGGUCUGUCUGUGUGUUUAACUGUGGCGUUGUCAUAUUGCGCUGCUUUAUGUAUUGUAUAUAACUUGUUUUGCUUUUCUAAUGUGAACCAACAAACGUUCGGUUCACGUAAGUGAAUCUAUAUUGUUAUGAAAAUACCCACCCAGGCCGUAAGGAGCUGUGAAAUUGUAAUGUCUUAUGGGUUGUUUUGUGGGUUUUUUUGUUGAGGGGUUGAGCACAUUUGUACUCUCUGCAAGGCAAACUCUGUUUCUUAUCACCCUCAUAGACAUACAUUGGUUAAUGCAGUCUACAGUAUGUUCAUUAUACUCUUUAACAAAUACAACCUGUGUCCAUGUCUUUGUUCUGUGUCUUCAUGGUGAAUCAUGUUCUGUAUCUGUUCUGCUAGAGUCCUCUGCUGCUA
This is a long non-coding RNA of Oncorhynchus tshawytscha (Chinook salmon), 1037 nucleotides long. The record is from Ensembl. Lineage: Eukaryota; Metazoa; Chordata; Actinopteri; Salmoniformes; Salmonidae.